GAUGAACGCUGGCGGCGUGCCUAAUACAUGCAAGUCGAGCGAACAGACGAGGAGCUUGCUCCUCUGACGUUAGCGGCGGACGGGUGAGUAACACGUGGAUAACCUACCUAUAAGACUGGGAUAACUUCGGGAAACCGGAGCUAAUACCGGAUAAUAUAUUGAACCGCAUGGUUCAAUAGUGAAAGACGGUUUUGCUGUCACUUAUAGAUGGAUCCGCGCCGCAUUAGCUAGUUGGUAAGGUAACGGCUUACCAAGGCGACGAUGCGUAGCCGACCUGAGAGGGUGAUCGGCCACACGGAAACUGAGACACGGUCCAGACUCCUACGGGGGGCAGCAGUAGGGAAUCUGCCGAAAGGGGCGAAAGCCUGACGGAGCAACGCCGCGUGAGGAAUGAAGGUCUUCGGAUCGUAAAACUCUGUUAUUAGGAAAAAACAAAUGUGUAAGUAACUAUGCACGUCUUGACGGUACCAAAUCAGAAAGCCACGGCUAACUACG
RNAcentral lists this ribosomal RNA (495 nucleotides) under uncultured bacterium. RNAcentral's name for it is "partial 16S ribosomal RNA". It matches the Rfam family "Bacterial small subunit ribosomal RNA", at positions 28 to 505 of the family's 1533-position model. The record is from RNAcentral.